Molecule: long non-coding RNA, 1644 nt
Organism: Ictalurus punctatus (channel catfish)
Lineage: Eukaryota; Metazoa; Chordata; Actinopteri; Siluriformes; Ictaluridae
Source: Ensembl
AUAAUUUAUGCAGUUCUGUGCAAAAGUUUUGGCACAAACUCUGCAGCAAAUUAUUAUUAUUUUUAAAUAACAUUUGUCUGCCAAAUAUGAAUGCACAGUCAGCUGUGGAAGGUGCAAAAGUUUGGGCAUCCUUCCAAUUGUAAAGUCUCAGAACUUAAGUAACUCAUUAGGCCUUAAUUGACUCCUUUGGACUCGUUACUCAGGUCAGGAACUGUCAUUAGGAACUGUCAGCUGAUGACGAAUUCACAAUGGAAUAAAGUUUCUGACUUUUCAAGCUUUGUGAUAAUAAUCAACAACAACAACAACCACCACCACCACACACGUCUCUCUGCAGCAGACUGAGGAUCUAAAAAUUAAGCUAAUUGAUGUGAAAAAGCAGAGCAUUGCUUUCACGGGCAUGAUUUGCAUGGAAGAGUCAUAAGAAGGAAACCUUAUUCACAAACUCAUCACGAAAGAUAACAUCUGAAGGAUACAAAACAGCAUCUUGAUAAGCCAGAGACAUUCUGGAAACCAGUGCUGUGGACUGAUGAAGUGGAAAUGCAAUUCUUUGGCCACAAUCAACGAAGGUAUGUUUGUAGGGGGAAAAAAAGAGUAGCAUUUGAUGAAAAGAACACAACCAUUAAACAUCUUUAUACUGUGGGCUGUGGAGCAACCAAGUUAGUAGUGUGUCCAAGCCUUUGCACAUGCUACAAUUUCUAUUUUAUUAUUUAAUUAUUAUUUUUUCAUCAAAUAGAUAUCCAUAAAUUAUCUGUGCAUUAACAUCUGCAGAAUAAUACCAUUUUUGCUGUAGUGGUGGUGUUUCACUUCAAAAAUCACUAUAAUAUGAAGUUUGGCCAGCGGUGCCCAAGAGUUUUGCAUACAACCUGUUUAUUUGUGUAUUUGGUUUUAAUAAAGUCCCAUACAAAUAAACAAAUGAAUGAAUAAAUUAAUUAGUAACUAUAAGUAGCAUAGUAACUGUCAUGUCAUGGCAAACUAACGACUCCAUUUCUCAGAAAGCACCAUGAACUACAAACAUGGCCGACGACUACAACUUCCAAUGGAACACACAGACACGUCGCCUUCUCCUGUGAACUAAUCACACACACCUGUUCCCAGGCACACUGACAAUCUCACCACACUACUUAACAGUACACUAUGUCUUUGAGAAGUAUUAUGCGCAGUUGAUCUUAUCUGUCGUUAUCAAGCCUUGUUACCAUGUUUGACGUUAUGGUUUUUUGCACUGUGUUUAUUCCCUUGACCUUGAUUCUCUGCCUUGCCUGAUGUGGAUUGGUUGCCUGAUAGCAUGACCUUUGCCUGUUUAUGUACUUCAACUCUUGCCUGUACCUUUUGUAUUCGUUAUCAUUAAACUGUCAUACUUCCUUAUCAACCUCCAUUAUGUCACUGUAACUAUAAAUAGCAUAAACUAUAUGUGUAAAAAUUUUUUUACUAAGUUAUAUAAUUAAUUUGGACAUUUCUGUCCAACUAUCCAUCCAUCCAUCUUCUAGACCACUUAUCCUUUUCAGGGUCACAGGGAACCUGGACCCUAUCCCAGGAAGCAUCGGGCAUGAGGUGGAGUACACCCUGGACAAGCACAAUCACAUACACACACCCAUUCAUACACUACAGACAUGCCAAUCAGCCUACCAUGCAUAUCUUUGGACUGGG